RNAcentral lists this ribosomal RNA (158 nucleotides) under Eremothecium coryli. RNAcentral's name for it is "5.8S ribosomal RNA". It matches the Rfam family "5.8S ribosomal RNA". Rfam says of the family: 5.8S ribosomal RNA (5.8S rRNA) is a component of the large subunit of the eukaryotic ribosome. It is transcribed by RNA polymerase I as part of the 45S precursor that also contains 18S and 28S rRNA. The record is from RNAcentral. Lineage: Eukaryota; Fungi; Ascomycota; Saccharomycetes; Saccharomycetales; Saccharomycetaceae.
AAACUUUCAACAACGGAUCUCUUGGUUCUCGCAUCGAUGAAGAACGCAGCGAAUUGCGAUCAGUAUUGUGAAUUGCAGAUUUUCGUGAAUCAUCGAAUCUUUGAACGCAUAUUGCGCCCACUGGUAUUCCGGUGGGCAUGCCUGUUUGAGCGUCAUUU